This 343-nucleotide unclassified non-coding RNA is filed under the name soil metagenome. RNAcentral describes it as "partial contains 5.8S ribosomal RNA, internal transcribed spacer 2, and large subunit ribosomal RNA". The stretch from base 1 to 120 matches the Rfam family "5.8S ribosomal RNA", at positions 35 to 154 of the family's 154-position model. The record is from RNAcentral.
GAUGAAGAACGUAGCGAAAUGCGAUAAGUAAUGUGAAUUGCAGAAUUCAGUGAAUCAUCGAAUCUUUGAACGCACAUUGCGCCCGCCAGUAUUCUGGCGGGCAUGCCUGUUCGAGCGUCAUUUCAACCCUCAGGACCCUUUGGACCUGGUGUUGGGGCUCGGCCGCUACCCCGCGGCCGUCCCCGAAAGAUAGUGGCGGUCUCGCUGUAGCGUCUUCUGCGUAGUAAUUACACCUCGCACUGGAACGCGGCGCGGCCACGCCGUUAAACACCCCACUUCUCAAGGUUGACCUCGGAUCAGGUAGGAAUACCCGCUGAACUUAAGCAUAUCAAUAAGCGGAGGA